UCGAGAAUUUUUCUCAAUGGGCGAAAGCCUGAAGGAGCGACGCCGCGUGGGGGAUGAAGGGUUUCGAUCCGUAAACCCCUGUCAUUUGCGAACAAUGGGCGCCUGUUAACAGCGGGUGUCUUGAUAGUAGCGGAAGAGGAAGGGACGGCUAACUCUGUGCCAGCAGCCGCGGUAAUACAGAGGUCCCAAGCGUUGUUCGGAUUCACUGGGCGUAAAGGGUGCGUAGGUGGCUUUGUAAGUUUGAUGUGAAAUCUCCGGGCUUAACCCGGAAAAUGCAUUGAAUACUACAGGGCUGGAGGUUUGGAGGGGGGACUGGAAUUCUCGGUGUAGCAGUGAAAUGCGUAGAUAUCGAGAGGAACACCAGUGGCGAAGGCGAGUCCCUGGACAACACCUGACACUGAGGCACGAAAGCUAGGGGAGCAAACAG
This 427-nucleotide ribosomal RNA is filed under the name uncultured bacterium. Its description in RNAcentral is "bacterial SSU rRNA". It matches the Rfam family "Bacterial small subunit ribosomal RNA", at positions 355 to 775 of the family's 1533-position model. The record is from RNAcentral.